RNAcentral lists this ribosomal RNA (662 nucleotides) under Clostridium botulinum D/C. RNAcentral describes it as "partial 23S ribosomal RNA". It matches the Rfam family "Bacterial large subunit ribosomal RNA", at positions 805 to 1466 of the family's 2925-position model. The record is from RNAcentral. Lineage: Bacteria; Bacillati; Bacillota; Clostridia; Eubacteriales; Clostridiaceae.
UGAGCUGUGGAUAGCGGAGAAAUUCCAAUCGAACUCGGAGAUAGCUGGUUCUCCUCGAAAUAGCUUUAGGGCUAGCGUCGGGUAAUUGAGUAGUGGAGGUAGAGCACUGAAUGGGCUAGGGGCUGACAACAGUUACUGAACCCUAUCAAACUCCGAAUGCCAUAUACUUGUACCCCGGCAGUCAGACUACGAAUGAUAAGAUCCGUGGUCAAAAGGGAAACAGCCCAGACCAUCAGCUAAGGUCCCAAAGUGUAAGUUAAGUGGGAAAGGAUGUGGGAUUUCUAAGACAACUAGGAUGUUGGCUUAGAAGCAGCCACUCAUUUAAAGAGUGCGUAAUAGCUCACUAGUCGAGAGAUCCUGCGCCGAAGAUGUAACGGGGCUCAAACUUACCACCGAAGCUAUGGAUGUGUACUUUGUACACGUGGUAGAGGAGCUUUCUGUACAGGUUGAAGUCAUACCGUAAGGAGUGGUGGACAGUACAGAAGUGAGAAUGCUGGCAUAAGUAGCGAAAAACAAGUGAGAAUCUUGUUGACCGAAUAUCUAAGGUUUCCUGGGGAAGGCUCGUCCUCCCAGGGUUAGGCGGGACCUAAGCCGAGGCCGAAAGGCGUAGGUGAUGGACAACUGGUUGAUAUUCCAGUACCACCAUAAUGCGUUUGACAAAU